This 351-nucleotide ribosomal RNA is filed under the name Triticum aestivum (bread wheat). RNAcentral's name for it is "partial small subunit ribosomal RNA". Lineage: Eukaryota; Viridiplantae; Streptophyta; Magnoliopsida; Poales; Poaceae. The record is from RNAcentral.
AUGGGUGCAAUGCAUCUAAAGGCACACCCUAAAUUUAGAGAAAAUUUGGGAUGUGACACGGCCACUGGUCAUGUGCGGGACGGCGUGGUGGAAGCGGUCGCCGAGGCCGCGCAGGACGUUGUGGACGAGAUCGUGAUCCUUGACACGGUGAUCGAUGUCCCGAAGAGUGCCGGCCAUCUGCUUGAGCUUGGAGGUGUAGUCGAUGAUGGAGUGGUCUCCUUGGAUGAAGCUAUGGAACUCAUCGAGGAGGUACGUGAUGUUGGUGUCCCGGUUGUUGUGGAAGAGGUAGCAAAGGUACCGCUAGAGCAUGUACGUCGUGCCCUUGUGCUCCUUGAUAAUCUCCAAGGUUAA